CUAAAGUAGAUGGCCUUGAAAUGUGACUGAUAUUAGCCCUAUUCUAGAUAAACCUUUUGUCAUUUGCCAGUGUUCAACUUUUUCAUUGAUAUGAUAUAGAUAUUAGCCACACUUGAGAUAUAUUUAGUAUAGAUUUAUUAAAUGAUAUGGAAAUAGUCAAGGGAGUACCAAAAUUGGGUGUUAAAAAGCCCCAGAAAUUGAGGAGAUGAUGUCCCUUCGGAUUCUUCCAUGUAGCUGACAAAAUGCUGUUUUUCUCGGUUCCCCGUAAAGUUGGGUGUUCACCUUAUGCCCCAGCUAGAGAAAUAGUCUCAAUGAUCCAGUCAAGUUCUUAAAAAUAAUAUUUUAUCAUUAACAUAUUACUUUCUCUAUAUCCAAAUAUACUUUUAUUGUUUCUUUAGAGUUAAUAGUAUCUAAAUAUUUGGUAUAAAUAUCUGAAUUUUUUCAGUUUAUACAAAAUUAGCAUGCUUUAUGUUCCUUUAUAAAGAAAAUUCUAGAUAAAGUAUAAUUUUUUAUCAGCUGUUUUGAAAUCCUUUUUCUAAGACCUAUUUUUUUAGGUUCCAUAUAGCAAUAGCUUAAUUUUGUUUGAUCAUUUUCAUCUAAUUAAAGUUCUGUAGAUCAUCUUGCAAAAAGUAAACAAACCAAUUUUAUAUUUCAUGUGAAACCUAGAACACUAAUUGGUAUAUAUGUAUAAAACUACCCUGACAAGGACAAUCCAUUACCAAUUUUUAAUAUGAAAAUUAAUUGACAAUCUUAUUGCUUAUGAAAGAAAUUAUUAACUUAGUAAGUAGUAAAUUCUAAGAGAUCACAGAAAUAAUCUUGCAUAGAAGGAAUGCAAAAACAGUGGCUUAAAGAUUUAUGUUAACGUAUUAUUUAUUAAGAAGCCACAACUGUUAGUUGUUUUGUUUCUGUUUUAAAGAAAAUUGAUUAUAAGAUAUAUUCAUGAAACAAAUAUAUUUAUAUGUAUAUAUAUAUUGCAAAAUUGUGGGCCUAUUAAAUUAUUCAUAUUUUCUUUCUCACAAAGAAUUUAAAUUGCUAAAAAGAAAACAUUUGGGUGUUUAAUCUGCCAUUACUGUAUAUCUAGAAAUUAUAGUUCUAAAGAAUAAUUGUCUGUUUGAAUUACCAGAAUACAAUCCAUUUUAAUUAUUUUUUCUCAAACAAUAGCAAAUGAGAAUUUCUUAAUUUUAAGAUGAAUGACUUUCACUAGUAGUUUGUUCCAGAUUUUGUCCAUAGUUUCAUUACAUGUUUUACAUUUUUCUGUAAAGUUUGUAGCCAUUUUACAAAUAACGUCAUAAUAUUUUUCAUAUUUAUAUACAAGCCUGGUUGAAAAGAGAUUUUCCUUACUUUUUCAAUGAUAAGGAAAAUACUUAUGUAAUUUUAUUUUUUAACUUUUUCUACAUUUCAUUAGUCAUAUUAUUAACUUUGGUAUUCAUAAAACUAUGUGGAGGAAACCAUUUUAAAUAUAUUUUUGGAAAGAGGCAUGUAGAAAUAAAAUAGAAAAUAUUAAUAUUCUUUUGUAGAAAUGCCUAAAAGAAAAGUGGAAGGGAAAAAAUAAUUCUGUUGAGACAAAAAUGUUGAAAAAUCAGGAGUGUUUAAGACCUUAAUUUCUUCCAUUUUUAGAGUACUCUUCUUAUUUCCAAAUGAUUAUUUCAUGCUGUUGGUUCUGUGAAUUGUGCUUUUUACAUAAUAUAUAAUUCCCCCCCAACAUUUUAGUGUCUAUACAUUCAUGUCUGAAAAAUAAAGAAGAAACUAGUGAAUAAAAGUCAGAGAAACUGGGUGUAUUACCAUUUUCCAAUAGCACUAAUGUAUAGACCCUUGAACCUUCCGUAUGGUGCUUUGUGUGAUGAGAGUAUAAAACAUUUAUAUAUAUAUAUAUAUAUAUGUUAUUAGUGCCUUAUUUUUUUCACUUGACUUUAUUUCUUAUCUAAAGAGCCAUAUAUUCUUUGUGAGUGUUCCUUUGUCCUCUUUUUAAAGUGCUGAUGAGACCAUGUAUCUUUAGGUAUAUAUACGUAGGCAUCUAUUACCUUCAUUCACUAUAGUCUCUCUAGAACAGCAGGUUAGCCAACAUAGUUUUCUUACAAUUCAUUGUUCAUUUUUAAGCUAAAGUAUCAAAAAAGAUCUUAAGCACCAUAAAUUGAAGCCAUUAUAAUUGAAUUGUAUUUUUAAACUACCAUAAAGAAUGCCCAUUUUUAAAGUUUAAAGCGAAUUGGAAUGGCCAUCAGUCUUCAUCUAUAGCUCCAAUUAGGACAAAAUUUACUUUUUACAAAAAGCAUUAAAUAUAAAAAUAAUUAUAUGGUACUUUGGGAUUUUGACCAGUUCCCUGCCAUUUGUCUUUGGUAAUAUUUUAUCUGUAUUCUACUUCCACACAGAUGUUAGAGAACAAAGGUGUUUGCCAUUGACCUGGAGUGUUUCAUUCACAGUGGGCUUUAUCAAUAUUGAGACAUUUUGUACAAUAUAUUAUCUUGCUCUUCUUGGUCUUUGCCUUUUGUGUUAGUUUUAUACAAAAAGAUGGUUUUGUUGUAUUCUUCAUGUACCAUAGUAUGUAAUUCAGCAUUUCCUGAUGAAUGUAUAAUGGAUAAUUAAAAUAAAUCAUUUGCUUAGAAAAGACAAAGACACAGGUUGUAUAUGCAAAUAUGUGUAAAUAUUUGACAAAGAAAAAGAAAGGAAAAGAAUCUUCCUGCCAACAGAUAUGUCCUGCUGGACAGGACGUGGAAAUUAACAGAUUUUUUUUUAAGCCGUGAAAUUUAAAAAUCUAUUACCUCAAGAAUUUUCAGUGGAUAUGUAUCAGUGUACUGCACCUUAUCAGUAAACACAGUCCCAGUUGCUGCUGGCAGUAAAAGCAACCCAAGUGUCAGAUCACACAAAUUAUAGGGGCAUGUCUUUCAAAAGAUGGAUAACGUGUGCUAUUUUGGAGUCCAAUUUCUAUAACAUCCCUCUGGCUUUUGGUUGUGGUUGGGCUUCUAUUUUUUAAUUGUUUUUGGUUGAUUGUUUUAGGACAGAAGGGUAAUCUUAAUUAUGAGAUGAGAUCUCAUGGAGGAUUGUAACAAUAUUCACUCUACUUGGAUGCAACCUAUAGUGGAAACAACUACUUUGACUGUCACUGUAUGAAUUGUAUGGAUUCCUGUGGAGGGCUGUUUACUCGCAUGAUGUGUGCAAGACCUCAUGCAGCAUCAUCUAGCAAUGCCUAAUAAAAGUUUUCAAAAUAGAAGACUCUUGGGUUUUGUUUUUUUUCCCAAUAGAUUUGGAAUUUAAAGAAACUAAAAGGUAAAAUUUGGCAGUGGCAAAAUCACAUGUACGUAAGUAAAUUUGGGCAGUUACUGAAGUUGCUUCUGUGCUAGAUUCUGCAUAUGGAGAAGCAGGAGUGAAGAGAAAUUCAUGAGUGUGUUUUUUGGAAGGUGGAUUUUUUGUGUUGCUGGAGCAAGUUUUGUGAAAAGUGCACAGAGCAAUGACGAUCAUUCUGCAUGGAGUGUAAUAAAGAAGCAAGUAGUAUGGAAACAAUUUGGCUUAGGAUGGUGAUUGCUCUUUAGGCAAAAGGGGCUCGUCUGGAUUGGGAAAAGUAGAAAACACUAAACCAUUAAAGCUAAAUAUGGAGUUCCCGUCGUGGCGCAGUGGUUAAGGAAUCCAACUAGGAACCAUGAGGUUGCGGGUCCCGUCCCUGCCCUUGCUCAGUGGGUUAACGAUCUGGCAUUGCCGUGAUCUGUGGUGUAGGUUACAGAUGUGGCUCGGAUCCCGCGUUGCUGUGGCUCUGGCGUAGGCCAGAGACUACAGCUCCGAUUGGACACCUAGCCUGAGAACCUCCAUAUGCCACAGGAGCGGCCCAAGAAAUAGCAAAAACACACACACAAAAAAAAAAAGCUAAAUAUAUAUGUCUUCCCUUAAACCUAGCAAUUCUUUUCCUAGGUCUGCAAUUAGGGAAACAGGGCAUUUGUUGGACAAAGGACAUGUAUAAGAAUUCUUAUUAACAGUAAGGUAGAUAAGAAGGGGGCUUGGGAUGGAAAUGCUAUAAAAUUGGUUGUGAUUAUCACUGUACAACUAUAAAUGUAAUAAAAUUCAUUGAGUCAAAAAAAUUUAAAAA
Molecule: long non-coding RNA, 4072 nt
Filed under: Sus scrofa (pig)
Lineage: Eukaryota; Metazoa; Chordata; Mammalia; Artiodactyla; Suidae
Description: lncRNA (ENSSSCG00000055354.1)
Source: RNAcentral